CCUUCGCUAAUCUUCGAUAAAGUAAACAUGACUUUUAUCGUCCCGCCGGUUGUCCGUGUCGCAUAGGUUAACGUUAUGGACGAUCUCCCUCGACGGGUGAGAGGAGAAAUUGCUUGGACAAGUCGAAUAGUGUGUAAGUAAGUAAGAUAUUCCCGAUGCCUCGCGUCGUGAUAAAUGCGAAACGAGAAAAGAAAAGAAAAACAGGAAGAAGUAGAAGUAGAUGGAUAAAAAGAAUAAGAAUAAUAAUAAGAAGAAGAAGAAGAAGAAGAAGAUUUCUCUUUCAUGAUCGUUACCUCACAACAUAGAAACAGGCAUCGUGCCGACGAUAAAUAAGAGACGUGACGACAAUCGUGAAUUUCUGAAUAACCGAUUCAAUUACUUUUUCAAUUUAGUGUUAGUAGAGAAUUCAUUGUAGGUAAGUGUAUUUGGAGAGUUUGCAAUAGUAACACCGGUUUACAUCUGUCAAAGGAAAUCUAAUGAAAGUUUUACAUGAUAGAACACCUAUAAAAGAAAAGAAAAUCAAAGAAAAAUAAGGAUAGAGUACGAGGAACAAAGAGAACAUGAACACACGAACACAUGAACAUGAUAGAUAGAUGGAAAGAAAGAAAAGGAAUGAAAAAGAUAGAAAAACAUGAAAUUGUACCGACUACCAGACGCCAAGAUUUGUUCCACGUGACUUGUCGGCUCUCGUUUCCGCUUUCCAGUCGCAUGACGGACUACAAGGAAUGAAACCAUUGACGCGUUUCCGGCCACACCACGAGGACGAACGUGACAAAGUAGAAAAGAGGAGAAGACGUAGAAGAGAAGCAGGAACGUUUAAAUCAAAGAGUACUUACUGAGAAGUACCCCGAACAUAAGCCGCAAGACGUUUCUUAAUCUUGCGAUUAGCCGCGGAAACGCGUGCUCUGGAUUCCACGAUAUUUUCGCUUGAAAGAAAGGAAAGAAAGGAAA
This 951-nucleotide long non-coding RNA is filed under the name Polistes fuscatus (common paper wasp). RNAcentral describes it as "uncharacterized LOC122514162". The record is from RNAcentral. Lineage: Eukaryota; Metazoa; Arthropoda; Insecta; Hymenoptera; Vespidae.